UACCAAUUAGAGGGUGUCAGCAAUA
RNAcentral lists this non-coding RNA (25 nucleotides) under Mus musculus (house mouse). Lineage: Eukaryota; Metazoa; Chordata; Mammalia; Rodentia; Muridae. The record is from RNAcentral.